Molecule: ribosomal RNA, 421 nt
Filed under: uncultured Halococcus sp.
Lineage: Archaea; Methanobacteriati; Methanobacteriota; Halobacteria; Halobacteriales; Halococcaceae
Description: bacterial SSU rRNA
Rfam family: Archaeal small subunit ribosomal RNA
Source: RNAcentral
CAGCCGCCGCGGUAAUACCGGCAGCUCAAGUGAUGGCCACUAUUAUUGGGCCUAAAGCGUCCGUAGCUGGCUAGACAGGUCCGUCGGGAAAUCCACUCGCUCAACGGGUGGGCGUCCGGCGGAAACCAGCUAGCUUGGGACCGAGCGACCUGAGGGGUACGUCCGGGGUAGGAGUGAAAUCCCGUAAUCCCGGACGGACCAUCGGUGGCGAAAGCGCCUCAGGAGAGCGGAUCCGACAGUGAGGGACGAAAGCUAGGGUCUCGAACCGGAUUAGAUACCCGGGUAGUCCUAGCCGUAAACGAUGCUCGCUAGGUGUGGCGCUGGCUACGAGCCAGCGCUGUGCCGUAGGGAAGCCGUGAAGCGAGCCGCCUGGGAAGUACGUCCGCAAGGAUGAAACUUAAAGGAAUUGGCGGGGGAGCAC